RNAcentral lists this ribosomal RNA (971 nucleotides) under Nocardiopsis sp. RNAcentral describes it as "bacterial SSU rRNA". It matches the Rfam family "Bacterial small subunit ribosomal RNA", at positions 59 to 1023 of the family's 1533-position model. The record is from RNAcentral. Lineage: Bacteria; Bacillati; Actinomycetota; Actinomycetes; Streptosporangiales; Nocardiopsidaceae.
CAGUCGUACAGGUAACCAUUCGGGUACACGAGCGGCGAACGGGUGAGUAACAUGUAGAGCAACCUGCCCCUGACUCUGGGAUAAGCGGUGGAAACGCCGUCUAAUACCGGAUACGACCCACCACCUCAUGGUGGAGGGUGGAAAGUUUUAUCGGUCAGGGAUGGGCUCGCGGCCUAUCAGCUUGUUGGUGGGGUAACGGCCUACCAAGGCGAUUACGGGUAGCCGGCCUGAGAGGGCGACCGGCCACACUGGGACUGAGACACGGCCCAGACUCCUGCGGGAGGCAGCAGUGGGGAAUAUUGCACAAUGGGCGAAAGCCUGAUGCAGCGACGCCGCGUGGGGGAUGACGGCCUUCGGGUUGUAAACCUCUUUUACCACCAACGCAGGCUCCACGUUCUCGUGGGGUUGACGGUAGGUGGGGAAUAAGGACCGGCUAACUACGUGCCAGCAGCCGCGGUAAUACGUAGGGUCCGAGCGUUGUCCGGAAUUAUUGGGCGUAAAGAGCUCGUAGGCGGCAUGUCGCGUCUGCUGUGAAAGACCGGAGCCUUAACUCCUGGUUCUGCAGUGGAUACGGGCAUGCUAGAGUGUAGGUAGGGGAGGACUGGAAUUCCUGGUGCAGCGGUGAAAUGCGCAGAUAUCAGGAGGAACACCGGUGGCGAAGGCGGAUCUCUGGGUCCUUACCCUGACGCUGAGGAGCGAAAGCAUGGGGAGCGAACAGGAUUAGAUUACCCUGGUAGUCCAUGCCGUAAACGUUGGGGCCCUAGGUGUGGGGACUUUCCACGGUUUCCGCGCCGAAUCUUAACCCAUUAAGCGCCCCGCCUGUGGAGUACGGCCCCAAGGCUAAAACUCAAAGGAAUUGACGGGGGCCCGCACAAGCGGCGGAGCAUGUUGCUUAAUUCGACGCAACGCGAAGAACCUUACCAAGGUUUGACAUCACCCGAGGACCUGUAGAGAUACAGGGUCAUUUAGUU